GAUGAACGCUGGCGGCGUGCUUAACACAUGCAAGUCGAACGGAAAGGCCCUGCUUUUGUGGGGUGCUCGAGUGGCGAACGGGUGAGUAACACGUGAGUAACCUGCCCUUGACUUUGGGAUAACUUCAGGAAACUGGGGCUACUACCGGAUAGGAGCCCCUGCUGCAUGGUGGGGGUUGGAAAGUCUCGGCGGUUGGGGAUGGACUCGCGGCUUAUCAGCUUGUUGGUGGGGUAGUGGCUUACCAAGGCUUUGACGGGUAGCCGGCCUGGGAGGGUGACCGGCCACAUUGGGACUGAGGUAGGGCCCAGACUCCUACGGGAGGCAGCAGUGGGAAGUAUUGCACAAUGGGCGGAAGCCUGAUGCGGCAACGCCGCGUUCGGGAUGACGGCCUUCGGGUUGUAAACCGCUUUCGCCUGUGACGAAGCGUGAGUGACGGUAAUGGAUGAAGAAGCACCGGCUAACUACGUG
RNAcentral lists this ribosomal RNA (468 nucleotides) under uncultured bacterium. RNAcentral's name for it is "partial 16S ribosomal RNA". It matches the Rfam family "Bacterial small subunit ribosomal RNA", at positions 28 to 507 of the family's 1533-position model. The record is from RNAcentral.